This 210-nucleotide ribosomal RNA is filed under the name uncultured bacterium. RNAcentral's name for it is "partial 16S ribosomal RNA". It matches the Rfam family "Bacterial small subunit ribosomal RNA", at positions 524 to 732 of the family's 1533-position model. The record is from RNAcentral.
UACGUAGGGUGCAAGCGUUGUCCGGAAUUAUUGGGCGUAAAGAGCUCGUAGGCGGUUUGUUGCGUCGGCUGUGAAAUCCCGAGGCUCAACCUCGGGUCUGCAGUCGAUACGAGCAAACUAGAGUGUUGCAGGGGAGACUGGAAUUCCUGGUGUAGCGGUGAAAUGCGCAGAUAUCAGGAGGAACACCGGGUGGCGAAGGCGGGUCUCUGG